CGGGCGGCGUGCCUAAUACAUGCAAGUCGAACGAACGGAUUGAGGAGCUUGCUCUUCNNGAAGUUAGUGGCGGACGGGUGAGUAACACGUGGGUAACCUGCCCUUCAGCGGGGGAUAACAUCCGGAAACGGGUGCUAAUACCGCAUAGUUUCUUUUUCCGCCUGGAAGAAGAAGGAAAGAUGGCCUUUGUGCUAUCACUGAGGGAUGGACCCGCGGCGUAUUAGUUAGUUGGUGGGGUAAUGGCCUACCAAGACGAUGAUACGUAGCCGACCUGAGAGGGUGAUCGGCCACAUUGGGACUGAGACACGGCCCAAACUCCUACGGGAGGCAGCAGUAGGGAAUCUUCCGCAAUGGACGAAAGUCUGACGGAGCACGCCGCGUGAGUGAAGAAGGUUUCGGAUCGUAAACUCUGUUGUCGGAGAAGACAGUAGGAGAGUACUGUUCCUACUUGACGUACCGACAGAAGCACGGCUACUACGUGCAGCAGCGCGUAUACGUAGUGCAGCGUGUCGAUUAUUGGCGUAGCG
This 527-nucleotide ribosomal RNA is filed under the name uncultured prokaryote. RNAcentral describes it as "bacterial SSU rRNA". It matches the Rfam family "Bacterial small subunit ribosomal RNA", at positions 36 to 543 of the family's 1533-position model. The record is from RNAcentral.